This 2212-nucleotide ribosomal RNA is filed under the name Campylobacter jejuni. RNAcentral describes it as "partial 23S ribosomal RNA". It matches the Rfam family "Bacterial large subunit ribosomal RNA", at positions 1 to 2063 of the family's 2925-position model. The record is from RNAcentral. Lineage: Bacteria; Pseudomonadati; Campylobacterota; Epsilonproteobacteria; Campylobacterales; Campylobacteraceae.
AAAAAAGGUAAGCUACUAAGAGCGAAUGGUGGAUGCCUUGACUGGUAAAGGCGAUGAAGGACGUACUAGACUGCGAUAAGCUACGGGGAGCUGUCAAGAAGCUUUGAUCCGUAGAUUUCCGAAUGGGGCAACCCAAUGUAUAGAGAUAUACAUUACCUAUAUAGGAGCGAACGAGGGGAAUUGAAACAUCUUAGUACCCUCAGGAAAAGAAAUCAAUAGAGAUUGCGUCAGUAGCGGCGAGCGAAAGCGCAAGAGGGCAAACCCAGUGCUUGCACUGGGGGUUGUAGGACUGCAAUGUGCAAGAGGUAAGUUUAGCAGAACAUUCUGGAAAGUAUAACCAUAGAGGGUGAUAGUCCCGUAUGCGAAAAACAAACCUUAGCUAGCAGUAUCCUGAGUAGGGCGGGACACGAGGAAUCCUGUCUGAAUCCGGGUCGACCACGAUCCAACCCUAAAUACUAAUACCAGAUCGAUAGUGCACAAGUACCGUGAGGGAAAGGUGAAAAGAACUGAGGUGAUCAGAGUGAAAUAGAACCUGAAACCAUUUGCUUACAAUCAUUCAGAGCCCUAUGUAGCAAUACAGGGUGAUGGACUGCCUUUUGCAUAAUGAGCCUGCGAGUUGUGGUGUCUGGCAAGGUUAAGCAAACGCGAAGCCGUAGCGAAAGCGAGUCUGAAUAGGGCGCUUAGUCAGAUGCUGCAGACCCGAAACGAAGUGAUCUAUCCAUGAGCAAGUUGAAGCUAGUGUAAGAACUAGUGGAGGACUGAACCCAUAGGCGUUGAAAAGCCCCGGGAUGACUUGUGGAUAGGGGUGAAAGGCCAAUCAAACUUCGUGAUAGCUGGUUCUCUCCGAAAUAUAUUUAGGUAUAGCGUUGUGUCGUAAUAUAAGGGGGUAGAGCACUGAAUGGGCUAGGGCAUACACCAAUGUACCAAACCCUAUCAAACUCCGAAUACCUUAUAUGUAAUCACAGCAGUCAGGCGGCGAGUGAUAAAAUCCGUCGUCAAGAGGGAAACAACCCAGACUACCAGCUAAGGUCCCUAAAUCUUACUUAAGUGGAAAACGAUGUGAAGUUACUUAAACAACCAGGAGGUUGGCUUAGAAGCAGCCAUCCUUUAAAGAAAGCGUAAUAGCUCACUGGUCUAGUGAUUUUGCGCGGAAAAUAUAACGGGGCUAAAGUAAGUACCGAAGCUGUAGACUUGCACACAACUUAGAUUAUUUAAGUUUAGAAUAUGAGAAACUAAGUUAUAUGUUUAGUUAUAUUUUUACUGAUUUUUAUAGAGUAAAGAUAGAAAUAAAACUUAGUAAAAUCAGUAAAAAUAUUCUUAGACUAAAGUUAAGUAGUUUAAGUUGUGUGCAAGUGGUAGGAGAGCGUUCUAUUUGCGUCGAAGGUAUACCGGUAAGGAGUGCUGGAGCGAAUAGAAGUGAGCAUGCAGGCAUGAGUAGCGAUAAUUAAUGUGAGAAUCAUUAACGCCGUAAACCCAAGGUUUCCUACGCGAUGCUCGUCAUCGUAGGGUUAGUCGGGUCCUAAGUCGAGUCCGAAAGGGGUAGACGAUGGCAAAUUGGUUAAUAUUCCAAUACCAACAUUAGUGUGCGAUGGAAGGACGCUUAGGGCUAAGGGGGCUAGCGGAUGGAAGUGCUAGUCUAAGGUCGUAGGAGGUUGUACAGGCAAAUCCGUAUAACAAUACUCCGAGAACUGAAAGGCUUUUUGAAGUCUUCGGAUGGAUAGAAGAACCCCUGAUGCCGUCGAGCCAAGAAAAGUUUCUAAGUUUAGCUAAUGUUGCCCGUACCGUAAACCGACACAGGUGGGUGGGAUGAGUAUUCUAAGGCGCGUGGAAGAACUCUCUUUAAGGAACUCUGCAAAAUAGCACCGUAUCUUCGGUAUAAGGUGUGGUUAGCCUUGUAUUAGGAUUUACUCCGAAAGCAAGGAAACUUACAACAAAGAGUCCCUCCCGACUGUUUACCAAAAACACAGCACUCUGCUAACUCGUAAGAGGAUGUAUAGGGUGUGACGCCUGCCCGGUGCUCGAAGGUUAAUUGAUGGGGUUAGCAUUAGCGAAGCUCUUGAUCGAAGCCCGAGUAAACGGCGGCCGUAACUAUAACGGUCCUAAGGUAGCGAAAUUCCUUGUCGGUUAAAUACCGACCUGCAUGAAUGGCGUAACGAGAUGGGAGCUGUCUCAAAGAGGGAUCCAGUGAAAUUGUAGUGGAGGUGAAAAUUCC